CAUGGUUUGGUGGUAGAGAACCUGCUUGGCAAGCAUGAGGCCCUGGGUUCAAACCCCAGAACCAAGG
Molecule: transfer RNA, 67 nt
Filed under: Dipodomys ordii (Ord's kangaroo rat)
Lineage: Eukaryota; Metazoa; Chordata; Mammalia; Rodentia; Heteromyidae
Rfam family: tRNA
About the family: Transfer RNA (tRNA) molecules are approximately 80 nucleotides in length. Their secondary structure includes four short double-helical elements and three loops (D, anti-codon, and T loops). Further hydrogen bonds mediate the characteristic L-shaped molecular structure. tRNAs have two regions of fundamental functional importance: the anti-codon, which is responsible for specific mRNA codon recognition, and the 3' end, to which the tRNAs corresponding amino acid is attached (by aminoacyl-tRNA synthetases). tRNAs cope with the degeneracy of the genetic code in two manners: having more than one tRNA (with a specific anti-codon) for a particular amino acid; and 'wobble' base-pairing, i.e. permitting non-standard base-pairing at the 3rd anti-codon position.
Source: Rfam by way of RNAcentral